CGCGUGGGAACAUACCUUUCGGUAAGGAAUAGCCACUGGAAACGGUGAGUAAUACCUUAUACGCCCUUCGGGGAAGAUUUAUCGCCGAGAGAUUGGCCCGCGUUAGAUUAGAUAGUUGGUGGGGUAACGGCCUACCAAGUCUACGAUCUAUAGCUGGUUUUAGAGGAUGAUCAGCAACACUGGGACUGAGACACGGCCCAGACUCCUACGGGAGGCAGCAGUGGGGAAUCUUGGACAAUGGGCGCAAGCCUGAUCCAGCCAUGCCGCGUGAGUGAUGAAGGCCUUAGGGUCGUAAAGCUC
RNAcentral lists this ribosomal RNA (300 nucleotides) under uncultured Paracoccaceae bacterium. Its description in RNAcentral is "bacterial SSU rRNA". It matches the Rfam family "Bacterial small subunit ribosomal RNA", at positions 114 to 433 of the family's 1533-position model. The record is from RNAcentral. Lineage: Bacteria; Pseudomonadati; Pseudomonadota; Alphaproteobacteria; Rhodobacterales; Paracoccaceae.